Long non-coding RNA from Mastomys coucha (southern multimammate mouse), 1031 nucleotides. RefSeq lists it as uncharacterized. The transcript is spliced from 3 exons. The record is from RefSeq and is a predicted model, not a curated record. Lineage: Eukaryota; Metazoa; Chordata; Mammalia; Rodentia; Muridae.
GCUGGAUGUUCUGACACUCCCUGUUCAUCAUAGCAACAGAGAGCAAGCUGGGACAGCGGGUGAUCUGAGGUUAGGGGAUUCUGAUCAAUGUCAUUUGAUUCUAAUCCAGUCUUCACCAUUCAUUAUCCAGUCAUCUUCGUCUGCUCACAUCUCGGAUCCUCGUCUGUGAGAAGACCCAGUUCCCAUGAGAGAGAAGAUUUGCCUUUGAAACGAUGCCAGAUCACCUGACAAACAAAUGGUUAAAUACAGUCAAGUUUUACAUACAAGUUGAUCCAGCCAAGACCAUGGAGGUGAAGGUCAUUGAACCAGAGAAAGAUGCAGAAUGAUGGAUCAGCACAGAGACACAGUAGAGACCCCGUAGUUCACACCUGUCUGUGAGCAUCACUUCAGUCCUAUUAGGUCUCUUCAUCCUGUCUCAGUGGACCCUAUAGGAAAAGUCAAAGCAAAAGCAUUUGGUUUCAGCUUCUAUAUAGACUGAAGGGCAAGUUUAGGCUCUGUAGGGAACUUACACCCAGAGGUACCAGCAAUGCCUCUGACUAACAGUGUGUAUAUCUGGAUGUUCCCUUAGAGACCAGGGCUUCCUUCCUGAGCCUUAAGGGGUACCACAGACAAAGUGCAUGUUUACGAAUGCUUUCUCAGUUCAGUAAUACUGAGAUAAAGAAUUAGAGCUGUUUGACUUGGAUUUAUCUGCUCUCUACACCCGAGAACAUGUAGCCUCACCUAUGAUUAGGUGGAAUUUUAUAGAGGAGGAUUCUCUGUUGGAAUGUAACUAUCCCUGGUUCUACUGACCAGGCCACCAAAGAAUGUUCUCCUCUGAGCCCCUAGGAUAGAAACAGAAGUGAGGAAAGGAUAUAUGUCACUGGUUACUCCUACCUUUGUGAUGUGGAGCAGGUUCUCUUCUCUAACCUGUGUAUCCAUUAUCUUCUGGUUUUUAAAUCCCAAGAGUUAAAGGUUUACAUCAGUGUAUUAGUCAGCUUUCUGUGAGUGUAAAAAUACAUGAGAUAAUUUAAAAAAAAAUAAAGGUUUAUUUU